Molecule: microRNA precursor, 78 nt
Filed under: Echinops telfairi (small Madagascar hedgehog)
Lineage: Eukaryota; Metazoa; Chordata; Mammalia; Afrosoricida; Tenrecidae
Description: miRNA (ENSETEG00000022105.1)
Source: RNAcentral
CUGAUGGGUUUGAAGUGCUGACAUUGCAGAUAGUGCUUCCAUGGUUACCCUGCAGUGCAGCCACUCACUGGUGCCAUC